CUACGUGCCAGCAGCCGCGGUAAUACGUAGGUCCCGAGCGUUGUCCGGAUUUAUUGGGCGUAAAGCGAGCGCAGGCGGUUAGAUAAGUCUGAAGUUAAAGGCUGUGGCUUAACCAUAGUACGCUUUGGAAACUGUUUAACUUGAGUGCAAGAGGGGAGAGUGGAAUUCCAUGUGUAGCGGUGAAAUGCGUAGAUAUAUGGAGGAACACCGGUGGCGAAAGCGGCUCUCUGGCUUGUAACUGACGCUGAGGCUCGAAAGCGUGGGGAGCAAACAGGAUUAGAUACCCUGGUAGUCCACGCCGUAAACGAUGAGUGCUAGGUGUUAGACCCUUUCCGGGGUUUAGUGCCGCAGCUAACGCAUUAAGCACUCCGCCUGGGGAGUACGACCGCAAGGUUGAAACUCAAAGGAAUUGACGGGGGCCCGCACAAACGGUGGAGCAUGUGGUUUAAUUCGAAGCAACGCGAAGAACCUUACCAGGUCUUGACAUCCCUCUGACCUCUCUAGAGAUAGAGAUUUC
Molecule: ribosomal RNA, 517 nt
Filed under: uncultured bacterium
Lineage: Bacteria
Description: bacterial SSU rRNA
Rfam family: Bacterial small subunit ribosomal RNA
Source: RNAcentral